This 427-nucleotide ribosomal RNA is filed under the name uncultured bacterium. Its description in RNAcentral is "bacterial SSU rRNA". It matches the Rfam family "Bacterial small subunit ribosomal RNA", at positions 355 to 774 of the family's 1533-position model. The record is from RNAcentral.
UGGGGAAUUUUGGACAAUGGGCGCAAGCCUGAUCCAGCCAUGCCGCGUGCAGGAUGAAGGCCUUCGGGUUGUAAACUGCUUUUGUACGGAACGAAAAGGUGCCUUCUAAUAAAGGGCGCUCAUGACGGUACCGUAAGAAUAAGCACCGGCUAACUACGCGCCAGCAGCCGCGGUAAUACGUAGGGUGCGAGCGUUAUCCGGAAUCACUGGGCGUAAAGGGCGCGUAGGCGGUCUGUUAAGUCCGAUGUUAAAUCCCGGGGCUCAACCCCGGAUAAGCGUUGGAUACUGGCAGGCUAGACGGUUGGAGAGGCGAGUGGAAUUACCAGUGUAGCGGUGGAAUGCGUAGAUACUGGUAGGAACACCCAUUGCGAAGGCAGCUCGCUGGACAACACGUGACGCUGAGGCGCGAAAGUGUGGGGAGCAAACA